Molecule: long non-coding RNA, 222 nt
Filed under: Linum usitatissimum (flax)
Lineage: Eukaryota; Viridiplantae; Streptophyta; Magnoliopsida; Malpighiales; Linaceae
Description: long non-coding RNA (LUSI_LNC004540)
Source: RNAcentral
CUUCCUUUUCGCUUUUCUUUGCUUUUCAUCUUCUUUUUCUUUUCUAUCUUUUUCCACUUUUUUUGCUUUUUUGGAGACAACGGCUCUUUCCGAAUAGGGGUUGUUACAACCUCAGCCGGACCCGGAAUUAACCAACCCCAUGAUAUUUUUUAUUCUAGCAACCUCAUUCAGAAUCCUCCCGCCUUUUUUAACUUCGUAACAACCUAGGCAAACUCAUUGGAG